RNAcentral lists this ribosomal RNA (451 nucleotides) under uncultured bacterium. RNAcentral describes it as "partial 16S ribosomal RNA". It matches the Rfam family "Bacterial small subunit ribosomal RNA", at positions 29 to 523 of the family's 1533-position model. The record is from RNAcentral.
AGCGAACGCUGGCGGCAGGCUUAACACAUGCAAGUCGAGCGGCCGUAGCAAUACGGCAGCGGCAGACGGGAGAGUAACACGUGGGAACGUACCCUUCAGUACGGAACAACCAAGGGAAACUUUGGCUAAUACCGUAUACGUCCGUAAGGAGAAAGAUUUAUCGCUGAAGGAUCGGCCCGCGUCCGAUUAGCUAGUUGGUGAGGUAACGGCUCACCAAGGCGACGAUCAGUAGCUGGGCUGAGAGGAUGAUCAGCCUCACUGGGACGGAGACACGGCCCAGACUCCUACGGGAGGCAGCAGUGGGGAAUAUUGGACAAUGGGCGCAAGCCUGAUCCAGCCAUGCCGCGUGGAUGAUGAAGGCCCUAGGGUUGUAAAGUCCUUUUAACGGGGAAGAUAAUGACGGUACCCGUAGAAUAAGCCCCGGCUAACUUCGUGCCAGCCGCCGCAGUAA